GACGAACGCUGGCGGCGUGCUUAACACAUGCAAGUCGAACGGAAAGGCCCUGCUUUUGUGGGGUGCUCGAGUGGCGAACGGGUGAGUAACACGUGAGUAACCUGCCCUUGACUUUGGGAUAACUUCAGGAAACUUGGGCUAAUACCGGAUAGGAGCUCCUGCUGCAUGGUGGGGGUUGGAAAGUUUCGGCGGUUGGGGAUGGACUCGCGGCUUAUCAGCUUGUUGGUGGGGUAGUGGCUUACCAAGGCUGUGACGGGUAGCCGGCCUGAGAGGGUGACCGGCCACAUUGGGACUGAGAUACGGCCCAGACUCCUACGGGAGGCAGCAGUGGGGAAUAUUGCACAAUGGGCGGAAGCCUGAUGCAGCAACGCCGCGUGCGGGAUGACGGCCUGCGGGUUGUAAACCGCUUUCGCCUGUGACGAAGCGUGAGUGACGGUAAUGGGUAAAGAAGCACCGGCUAACUACGUG
Molecule: ribosomal RNA, 468 nt
Filed under: uncultured bacterium
Lineage: Bacteria
Description: partial 16S ribosomal RNA
Rfam family: Bacterial small subunit ribosomal RNA
Source: RNAcentral